This 305-nucleotide ribosomal RNA is filed under the name uncultured bacterium. Its description in RNAcentral is "bacterial SSU rRNA". It matches the Rfam family "Bacterial small subunit ribosomal RNA", at positions 333 to 630 of the family's 1533-position model. The record is from RNAcentral.
GGCUGCCUACGGGACGCAGCAGUGGGGAAUCUUCCACAAUGGGCGAAAGCCUGAUGGAGCAACGCCGCGUGGGUGAAGAAGGUCUUCGGAUCGUAAAACCCUGUUGUUAGAGAAGAAAGUGCGUGAGAGUAACUGUUCACGUUUCGACGGUAUCUAACCAGAAAGCCACGGCUAACUACGUGCCAGCAGCCGCGGUAAUACGUAGGUGGCAAGCGUUAUCCGGAUUUAUUUGGCGUAAAGGGAACGCAGGCGGUCUUUUAUGUCUGAUGUGAAAGCCUUCGGCUUAACCGGAGUAGUGCAUUGGA